This 912-nucleotide ribosomal RNA is filed under the name uncultured bacterium. RNAcentral describes it as "bacterial SSU rRNA". It matches the Rfam family "Bacterial small subunit ribosomal RNA", at positions 8 to 916 of the family's 1533-position model. The record is from RNAcentral.
AGAGUUUGAUCCUGGCUCAGGAUGAACGCUAGCGGGAGGCUUAACACAUGCAAGUCGAGGGGCAGCACGAGGUAGCAAUACUUUGGUGGCGACCGGCGCACGGGUGAGUAACGCGUAUGUAACCUACCCUGUACAGGGGGAUAGCCCGGAGAAAUUCGGAUUAAUACCCCAUAAAGAUAUAGAGUGGUAUCAUUUUAUAUUUAAAGUUCCGACGGUACGGGAUGGGCAUGCGUAACAUUAGCUAGUUGGCAGGGUAAUGGCCUACCAAGGCUGCGAUGUUUAGGGGUCCUGAGAGGGUGAUCCCCCACACUGGUACUGAGAUACGGACCAGACUCCUACGGGAGGCAGCAGUGAGGAAUAUUGGUCAAUGGGCGUAAGCCUGAACCAGCCAUCCCGCGUGCAGGAAGAAGGCGCUAUGCGUUGUAAACUGCUUUUGCAGGGGAAGAAUGUUCUGUAUGUAUACGGGAUUGACGGUACCUUGUGAAUAAGCAUCGGUUAACUCCGUGCCAGCAGUUGCGGUAAUACGGAGGAUGCGAGCGUUAUCCGGAUUUAUUGGGUUUAAAGGGUGCGUAGGCGGAUUGAUAAGUCAGUGGUGAAAUACUGCAGCUUAACUGUAGAAUUGCCGUUGAUACUGUCAGUCUUGAGUAUGGUUAAGGUAGGCGGAAUGUGUAAUGUAGCGGUGAAAUGCUUAGAUAUUACACAGAACACCGAUUGCGAAGGCAGCUUACUGAGCCAAAACUGACGCUGAGGCACGAAAGCGUGGGGAGCGAACAGGAUUAGAUACCCUGGUAGUCCACGCCGUAAACGAUGAUCACUUGCUGUUAGCGAUACACUGUUAGCGGCUAAGCAAAAGCAUUAAGUGAUCCACCUGGGGAGUACGACCGUAAGGUUGAAACUCAAAGGAAUUGAUGG